Callithrix jacchus (white-tufted-ear marmoset) is the source of this 7404-nucleotide non-coding RNA. The record is from RefSeq and is a predicted model, not a curated record. NCBI's taxonomy places the organism in Eukaryota, Metazoa, Chordata, Mammalia, Primates, Cebidae.
GUUUCUGUCUUCCUCCAUUCUCUUACACCUUGACUGAUUAUAUCUUUUAAGUUGUUUCUUUUUACUGUUAUGUGUGCAUAGUUUAUGCACAUCCAGUAUUGCCAAAAUUUUAUACUUUCAGCAUGUCCUAUUAUUUGCUUGUAAUCUCAACUUUACUGUUGGUCAGAGGUGGUGUCCUAGGAUUUGGUUCAGAUGUUGUAAAAGAAAUCCCAAAUUAGUUUUUAAUAGAUGGCUUAUUUUUCUCUGGCUUACCAGACUCUGGUUGUUUAUCUCUGGACAGUUUUCAAAUUGCUGCAGUGUAGGGGACCCAGGCAUCCCUUGUGUGGUAGUGUUCUGCCAUUUCUAGGCUCUUGACUAAGAUAGAACUGGAAGGGGAGGCAAUGAACCUUCCCUAGAAGCCAGGACCCAGAAGGGAUACCUCACCUCUCUUCACAUGUCAUUGACUAGAGCUUAGUUACAUGCCCAUACAAGCAUUAAGAUGUUGAAAAAUCUAUGUGAGCAUGUGUCCAGCUAAAUGUUCUUAAAGGAAGGGUAGAAUGGAUAUUCCCUAAUCACAGGUGUUGUCUCAAGAUACUUACAGCUUCUGGGUUUUUUAAAAUAACUUUUAUGUAAUAAAAGUUAUAUCUUUUAUUAUAUAAAACUGUGGCUACCAGUUACACUUUUGAAGUUAUACUCAGGGUAGUGGUGUGCAUUGUUCUUCAUGAAGAAAGGAACUGCCAGUUUCUUUAUAAAAAUGUCAGCUGUCAGCCAGGCAUGGUGGCUCACGCCUGUAAUCCCAGCAUCCGCUGAGGCGGGUGGAUCACGAGGUCAAGAGAUUGAGACCAUCCUGGUCAAUGUGGUGAAACCCCGUCUCUACUAAAAAUACAAAAAUUAGCUGGGCAUGGUGGCACAUGCCUGUAGUCCCAACUACUUGGGAGGCUGAGGCAGGAGAAUUGCUUGAACCCAGGAGGCGGAGGUUGUGGUGAGCCGAGAUCGCACCAUUGCACUCCAGCCUGAGUAACAAGAGUGAAACUCCAUCUAAAAAAAAAUGACAGCUGUCUUUUUAAAAGUUGUUACUACCUGUAGUAGGUAAUUGAUUCAGGCAGAGAAGGACUUUGCAGCUUUAUUUCUUCCUGUUAGCUGUGGAUUAGAUUCUCCACGCAGUGUUGCAUAUUGCCUAUUACAGUUUCUGGUUCUUGAUAGUACAGAUGCUGUUGGCUUUAAUUUAGGAAUUUCUCUAAUCUUCCUUCAAAUAAUUCAAUACUCUGAAUAUUUAACAUGUGUUACAUUUUUUAUAGUUUAAGACAAUUUGAGAUUGUGUUAUUAUGCUUAAAAGGGAGUUGUAAAGAGCUAAAAGAUUCUUUGUAAGACUUUCCUCUCCUGCAUCUGAUUUAAAUUGUGUUUUAUAAAAGUCAUUUAAAUAAUUUUUUUCUUUUUGAGCUGGAGUUUUGCUCUGUAGUCCAGGCUGGAGUACAGCGGCACGAUUUCUGCUCACUGCAGCCUCCACCUCCUGAGUCCCAGUUCAAGCAAUUCUCCCACCUCAGCCUCCCGAGUAGCUGAGAUUGAAGGCACAUGCCAGCAUGCCCAGCUACAUUUUGUAUUUUUAGGAGAGACAGGGUUUCACCACAUCAGCCAGGCUGGUCUUGAACUCUUGACCUAGUGAUCUGCCUGCCUCAGCCUCUCAAAGUGCUGAGAUAACAGGUGUGAGCCACUACGCCCUGCCUCUUUGAUGAAAUUUUUAAAAAUACAAAUCGAGAUUGUUUUGUUUUGUUCUUUCCCCUUUUGAAUUUCCCCUAAAGUACUGUGCACACAUCCACGCGCAGUUAUUUGUGCAGUACUUCUUCAGCGUUCAUUUAGUUGUACUUCAUGCUGAUUGAAUUACUGGUGUUAUCCUUCGGUGGGUAAGGCUGGAUGAAUUCUAAUCAGCUUACUUGUUUUGUCUUCAUGUAGCAAAAAGUUUUUAAAAUGUAUAAAUAAAUUUGCUCUUAUUGUUUAUGAAGUAUCUAUGGCUUAAAAAAUUCCUUUCUUCCCCCUUUUAUGAGCAGCCCAGUGGGGGAUAACAUCAUGUUGUUACUUCCUCUUAGCUUUUCAGUAAGGAAUGCUUCCUUUCCUCUGGUGGUUUUUUUUUUUUUUUUUUUUUUCUCUGAGAUGGAGUAUCACUCUAUCACCCAGGCUGAGUACAGUAGUGCAGUCUUGACUCACUGCCACCUCCAUCUCCUGGACUCAAGCAGUUCUUCUUCCUCAGCCUUCCCAGGGUAGCUGGGAUUCCAGACGUGUGCCACCAGGCCUGGCUAAUUUUUUGUAUUUUUAGUAGAGACAGGGUUUUACCAUGGUGGCCAGUCUGAUCUCCUGACCUCAAGUGAUCUGCCCACCUCAGCCUCUCAAAGUGCUGGGAUUACAGGCAUGAGCCACCGUGCCUAGCCUUUUCUUCUGGUUUAUAGUUGUGAUUCAGCAAUCCAAUCUUUUAACCACAACCUUGGUGGUGGUAUAAAAACCAAUUUUUAUCCAUUGUUUUUAUGGAAGCUUUAUUAUCUCUCAUGGAGAAAUGCCCCUUCAGUUUAUCACUGAAAUAUUUUUUUCCUUAGCUUUAAUGGAAUGUCACUUUUGAGGUUUUUCUUGCUUAUCAUGCCUCAGAGCACUUAAUACAAAAGAAUAAUAUAUUUAAGAUUACCAGUAUUGAAGUAUGCUAAAAUGGUUCUGAAUAUUUAGAAUGUUAUUUUUACAAACUUUUUGCUUAUUUUGUUAUAAGUAUUUUGCUUAUUAAUUUGUAUAGCAAACAUAAUCCACCCUUUUUUGUGGAGACAGAAUCUUGCUCUGUCACCCAGGCUGGAGUGCUGUGGUAUGAUCUUGGCUCACUGCAGCCUUUACCUCCUGGACUCAGGAGGUGAUCCUUCCACCUCAGCCUCUAGAGUAGCUGGGACCACAGGCAUGUGCCACCAUGCCCAGCUAAUUUUUCUAUUUUUUGUAGAGACAGAGUUUCACCAUGUUAGACAGGCUGUUUCAAACUCUGGGCUCAAGCCAUCUGUCUGCCUUGGCCUCCCAAAGUGCUGGGACUAUGGGUGAGAGCCACUACGCCUAGUCAAAAUUUUUUUUUUAACACAGAAAAAAAAGUUUAGGAGUCUGGUUUAUUUGCUGUAUCUGCUUUUCUUCUCUUUUUUUUUUUCUUUCUUUUUUUUUUGAGAUGGAAUUUCAUACUUGUUGCCCAGGCUGGAGUGCAAUGGCACGAUCUCUGUUCACUGCAACUUCUGCCUCCCUGGUUCAAACAGUUCUCCUGCCUCAGCCUCCUGAGUAGCUGGGAUUACAGAUGCCCACCACCACACCCCAUUAACUUUAAAAAUAUUUUUAUUAGAGAUGGGGUUUCACAAUGUUGGCCAGGCUGGAUUUGAACUCCUGACCUCAUGUGAUCCACCUGCCUUGGCCUCCGAGAAUGCUAGGAUUACAAUCGUGAGCCACUUUUUUGUCACCCAGGCCGAAGUGCAGUGGCACAAUCUUGGCUUACUGCAACCUCUGCCUUCUGGGUUCAAGCAAUUCUCCUGCCUCAGCCUCUCAAGUAGCUGGCAUUACAGGCACCCGCCACCAUGACUGGCCAAGUUUAUGUAUUUAGUAGAGAUGGUUUAACCAUGUUGGUCAGGCUAGUCUCUGACUCCUGACCUCAAGUGAUCCACCUGCCUCAGCCUCCCAAAACGCUGGGAUUAUAGUCAUGAGCCACUGUGCCUGGCCCUGUAUCUGCUUUUCAAACCAGAAUAAAAUUAACAAGAUUAAAGACAAGCCUGAUGAUGCAAUCAGAGUGAUGCUGUUAUCAUUUAGCUAGGUUGCUAAAUGGUAAGGGUGAUUUUUGAUUUUCCAUGGAAAGUUGAUUGCUGUAUGCUAUUUUUACAUGCACACACACAAUCACUUUCAUUGAGUGAAGUUAGUAUGUGACAUACCACUGUUGUGCGGUUCACAUACACAAUUCACUCAUGAGCAUGUGGAAUUAUUGUACUGUUGUGGAAUGAUGUAAAAAGCUCAGUCAGUGUUCCUUUUUCUCUUUCCCUGUUUCUUCCACUCUCUGCCAUGUGUGUAUAUUAGCCAUAUACAGAUAUUACUUAUUUUCAUUUUUAGUUAGAGGGAUGUGUCUCCAGUAUCCCUCCACCCUUAAUAAAUCCUAUAUUAGUCUUGUAAUUGAAAUAAAAGUCAAGAAAAAGUUCUUAAUGGACUUCUUCCCUUUAUAUUGCUUAUUAGUAUUAAAAUGGUAACACAUCAUCAAAAGCUUUAAAUUUAAUAGUGUUACUAAAUCACCUUGUUCAACAGCAUAACCAAAUGUUCCUUUAAUAUUGACCUUUUAAUAUAAGCUGCUCAGUGAUAUACCAUUAUGCUUCAAGGAGUUUUGAGAUGAGUUACCUAUUAUCCUAGACCCAUCAGUUAUCCUAUUUGUUUAUCAUAUUCUUUAUUAGGUAGUUAAGCUAUAUAUUUGUUUUCUUACAAAUGUGUUAGACUUAAACUGAGCAGCACAUCAUUACAUAACAAUUAAUAUCGAGGUGCUGUCCGAAUGAUCGGGAUAGGAGCGGUCCCCACGCUUGCUGCUAUACAACCAUGUUUGAAAUUAAGAAGAUCUGUUGCAUUGGUGCAGGCUAUGUUGGAGGACCCACAUGUAGUGUCAUUGCUCAUAUGUGUCCUGAAAUCAGGGUAAUGGUUGUUGAUGUCAAUGAAUCAAGAAUCCAUGCAUGGAAUUCUCCUACACUUCCUAUUUAUGAGCCAGGACUAAAAGAAGUAGUAGAAUCCUGUCGAGGAAAAAAUCUAUUUUUUUCUACCAAUAUUGAUGAUGCCAUCAAAGAAGCUGAUCUUGUAUUUAUUUCUGUGAAUACUCCAACAAAAACCUAUGGAAUGGGUAAAGGCCGGGCAGCAGAUCUGAAGUAUAUUGAAGCUUGUGCUAGACGCAUUGUGCAAAACUCAAAUGGGUACAAAAUUGUCACUGAGAAAAGCACGGUUCCAGUGCAGGCAGCAGAAAGUAUUCGUCGCAUAUUUGAUGCAAACACAAAACCCAACUUGAAUUUACAGGUGCUGUCCAACCCUGAGUUUCUGGCAGAGGGAACGGCCAUCAGGGACCUAAAGAACCCAGAAAGAGUACUAAUUGGAGGGGAUGAAACUCCAGAGGGCCAGAGAGCUGUGCAGGCCCUUUGUGCUGUAUAUGAGCACUGGGUUCCCAGAGAAAAGAUCCUCACCACUAAUACUUGGUCUUCAGAGCUUUCCAAACUGGCAGCAAAUGCUUUUCUCGCCCAGAGAAUAAGCAGCAUCAACUCCAUAAGUGCUCUGUGUGAAGCCACAGGAGCUGAUGUAGAAGAGGUAGCAACAGCCAUUGGAAUGGACCAGAGAAUUGGAAACAAGUUUCUAAAAGCCAGUGUUGGGUUUGGUGGGAGCUGCUUCCAAAAGGAUGUUCUGAAUUUGGUUUAUCUCUGUGAGGCUCUCAAUUUGCCAGAAGUUGCUCGUUAUUGGUAGCAGGUCAUAGACAUGAAUGACUACCAGAGGAGGAGGUUUGCUUCCCGGAUCAUAGAUAGUCUGUUUAAUACAGUAACUGGUAAGAAGAUAGCUAUUUUGGGGUUUGCAUUCAAAAAGGACACUGGUGAUACAAGAGAAUCUUCAAGUAUAUAUAUUAGCAAAUAUUUGAUGGAUGAAGGUGCACACCUCCAUAUAUACAAUCCAAAAGUACCUAGGGAACAAAUAGUUGUGGAUCUUUCUCAUCCAGGUGUUUCAGAGGAUGACCAAGUGUCCCGGCUUGUGACUAUUUCCAAGGAUCCAUAUGAAGCAUGUGAUGGUGCCCAUGCUGUUGUUAUUUGCACUGAGUGGGACAUGUUUAAGGAAUUGGAUUAUGAACGUAUUCAUAAAAAAAUGCUGAAGCCAGCCUUUAUCUUUGAUGGACGGCGUGCCCUGGAUGGGCUCCACAAUGAACUACAGACCAUUGGCUUCCAGACUGAAACAAUUGGCAAAAAGGUGUCUUCCAAGAGAAUUCCAUAUGCUCCUUCUGGUGAAAUUCCAAAGUUUAGUCUUCAGGAUCCACCUAACAAGAAACCUAAAGUGUAGACAUUGCCAUUUUUAUUUGUGAUUUUUUUGGUACUUCAGGAUAGCAAAUAUCUAUCUAAUAUUAAAUGGUAAAUGAACCAAGUGUUUUUAAGGAAACAAAAUUAUUUUUUAAUCAUCAGAUUUAUACUAGCUAUAUCGGUAUUCGCAUAUCUGGUAACUGAAUCUAGAAUUUUUUUAUAAUACUGUUAGCUCAGUUAUUGGAUGAGUGAAAGAUAAUCAUGUUGGUUUCAAUAGUGUCAAUUUUUGUAAUAAAAAUUAAACUUCAAACACUUUACUUAUAAAUUGUCCAUAGGCAGCACUUCAAUAUCACAUUAUAAGGGAAGGACAGUCUUCAUUUUUUCUGGUUAUUGGUUUGCUUGUCAUUAAAUAUGUACUUUGAAUCCAUGAAAAUGCUAAGCUAAAUAGCCUUUACAUGUAUGGUCUGGUUAAAGUUCCUUUGAUCCUUUUGUUUUAAUGAAAUGUGUCACUGAUUUUUUAGCUCAAAAGAUACAUCGCUGUUAAUUACAAUCACCCCAAAUAUGGUUAAAAGGUGGGAUUUUUGUUUUGUUUUUUUGAGGUGGAGUCUUCGCUCUGUUGCCCAGGCUGCAGUGCAAUGGCACCAUCUCGGCUCAAUACACCCUCUACCUCCUGGGUUCAAGGAAUUCUCCUGCCUCAGUCUCCUGAGUGACUGGGACUGCAGGCACCCGCCACCAUGCCCUGCCAAUUUUUGUAUUUUUAGUAGAGACAGGGUUUCAUAUUGGCCAGGCUGAUCUCAAACUCCUGACCUAUGAUCCACAUGCCUCAGCCUCCCAAAGUGCUGGGAUUGCAGGCAUGACCCACCAUGCCUUGCCAAAAGGUGUUUUUUUUUUAAUCAUGAAGAGAAAAUUAGUAGUAUUCUUUCUCUCCCCAUUAUUUCUUGGUUUUCCUCACUAAUCUUUUUUUUAGUCUAAGAGCCAAAAAGAUAAAUAUUUUUUAGAUGUCCUCUUGCUUUGUCGCCCACGCUGGAGUGCAGCAGCACGAUCUCAGCUCACUGCAACAUCCAACUCCCUGGUUCAAGCAAUUAUCCUGCCUCUACCUUCUGAACAGCUGGGAUUACAGGCUCCCACCACCAUGCCUGGCUAAUUUUUGUAUUUUUAAUAGAGACGGGGUUUUACUAUGUUGGUCAGGCUGGUCUCAAACUCCUGACCUCAUGAUCUGCCCACCUCAGCCUCCCCAAAGUCCUGGGGUUACAGGCAUGAGCCACCGCACUUGGCUGGGCCAAAAAUAUUUAUCUUGGUUCUGCAUUUUAUUUUCUAUUCUUAAUUGUAAUUUUUCCUUUUUUCUUUAAAUAAGGAAACCAAUAUAAUCUCAUGUAUAAACUUAAAUAUUUUACAAGUUACAUAUGACAUU